GGUCAAGCUACAAAGGGCUCACGGUGGAUACCUUGGCACACAGAGGCGAUGAAGGACGUGGUUACCUGCGAUAAGUCUCGGGGAGCUGGAAACACGCUUUGAUCCGGGAAUUUCCGAAUGGGGCAACCCCUAGAACGGCU
RNAcentral lists this ribosomal RNA (140 nucleotides) under Synechococcus sp. KORDI-63. RNAcentral describes it as "partial 23S ribosomal RNA". It matches the Rfam family "Bacterial large subunit ribosomal RNA", at positions 1 to 140 of the family's 2925-position model. The record is from RNAcentral. Lineage: Bacteria; Bacillati; Cyanobacteriota; Cyanophyceae; Synechococcales; Synechococcaceae.